AAAAGAAAAGAAAAGAAAAGAAAAUAUAUUCAAGGAACCCUACAUAGCCAAAUUUGGAGGUUCAUUGCAAGAAGAGGAAGCAUAGAAAUGAAAAAAGAAUUAUGAUAAGGUAUUAUGGGAAAGUUUCUAUUUUUGUGUUUGUGAGGUUUUCUUGUUAUUGUAUGAAGCAAAGGUGUGGAAUGGUGUAUAUAUGGGAAAAGAAAGGAAUAGGAAAGGAGAGUGUAUAUUUAUUUUUUAAUUAUUAUUUGGGGAAAUGAAGAAAUGGGGUUUGCUGUGAGUGGUUUGGAAAACAGGAGUGGUUUUCAAAGGGAUGUUCUGUCGAUGUGGGAUUGGAGGAGAGACUGGGAAGUUGGUUAGAGUCUCGUUUUAGAGCCACAGGCUUAAAGUAGAGAAGGGGUGUCCGUGCAUGAUCUAGUCUUGUCAGGGCUGUGUAGUGGGACUCCGAACUUUGCAGGUUCCAGCUGCCGUGGAGGCCUCUCUUUAUUAUGUUGUUUCAUGUUUGUGUAUGGUGACGGCGUUUGUG
Molecule: unclassified non-coding RNA, 523 nt
Filed under: Hevea brasiliensis (rubber tree)
Lineage: Eukaryota; Viridiplantae; Streptophyta; Magnoliopsida; Malpighiales; Euphorbiaceae
Source: RNAcentral